Molecule: long non-coding RNA, 4300 nt
Organism: Cavia porcellus (domestic guinea pig)
Lineage: Eukaryota; Metazoa; Chordata; Mammalia; Rodentia; Caviidae
Source: Ensembl
CUGGGUGGGCAGCUCCUGGGUCACCAUCUCGGGGGUUUGGCCUUGGAGCUGGUUCAGCUGCUUCAGGCCCUGGUGGCCGGUGCUUUCUGCUUGACCUUGCCCUCACUAAAAGAGGAGUAUAUUCCUGGAGCGAAAGAGAGAACCUGUGAGACGUUCCACUGGGUUGGGAAACGGAAUCCAGAAAAGAACUUGCCUUUCCGGUAGCCCCGCAUUUUUCCCUGGUCAGAGCCUGGGGUUUUGACUUUCCGAAGGGCUAAACCCUGGCCGGGGAAAGGACCUCAGUGCCGGUACCCUGGCGUGGACGAGUGAGGAGGCUGGACUGCUUCUAAAAAGGCCCAAGCCAGCUCAACUAGAAGAGGACUGCAGAAAGAAAUCUGCUGAAUUCCCCGUCCCGGGGUUGGGAGAUUAAGCACAGAGUUCCCGAAUCCCCUUAAAACUGGAAGAAAAUGAAGAACUUUGUGAUUCUGCCUCAGUGGAGGAAAAAGGAAGACAGAAGUGAAUGUGAGGAUACAGUGAAGAGGACAUUCAAAGGGUCCUGGAAGUCCAGCCUGAUCUGGAUCCCACCCCUGCCCCCUCGGGCUCCGUCUUUCCCCGAGGCCACGAGCAAAGGCAGUUUCCAUCCUAUUGUGCCGGCCUGGCGUUCAAAGGCAUGUGGGCCGCCACGGCCAUACCGUCUGCUGCCGCUGCCUGGCGCCCACAGGGCCAAGGCCCCUCAGCCUGCACCCUUGGCAACUAGAUGGGAGUCCAGGGGAAGUCUGUGUUACCAAAAUCACCACCAUACUGGAUUGAUUUAAGCCAUUCCCCAACUUCCCCGGACUGCGGAGAGACUUGCGCCUUUCCCAGAUUCCGGGGUUCCCCCUUCUUACCUCAGUUUGGGGACUUGAAAAUCCGGGGGCUGCUUUCAGACUGUUCCUGCACCUUGACAAAUCCCACCCACCUCUGGAGCCCUGGCCUCUUUGCUCCUCCUGCCUGGUACCCAGACCCUGAAGGGGCAGCAGAGACGGGGCUGGCCCUCCUGCCGCUUGUGCAUCUGUGAGCAAACAAGCCGAGGAGCUUUCAGGAGCUCCUUGUGUGCUCCAGGAGAAUCCAGCGGUUCCACAGGGCAGGCCAGGAGCCAAGGAGCUAGGGGUCCCCGUGCAAAAACAGAAGGAAAAUGUAGCGCUCGCUCAAAGAACAGAAAGAAACCUUGACUGUUCUCUCAGUUGUAUUCCUGAAGUCACUUUAGAAGUACCCUGAUUUUUCCAAUGAAAAUUGCUGGAGUUUACCCAAGAGAUUAAGGAAGUCAUCUGGCAAAUUCUAAAGGUGAGAAGAAAAAGCAAGAGGGUGAAAUAAUAAAAUAGAAAAAAAUAAAAUGCGUACAUAGAAAUAUUCAAGCGAAAUGACAAACAAGGUCACACUAGUGAUUGCAGGGUUUUUCUUCUUAGUUUGGAUGCAGAGAGGAGAUAACUUAUUCUCUUCCCAAAUCUUGAAUACCAGAUUUGUUUUUCUUCACUGGCCAGGCUCUAUCCCAGCUGAAUGGUGAGCAGGGCAAUCCCAGACAAAAUGAGGCAUUCUCAGAGAACCAGAAAACAGGUUUUCAAACAGGUAUGAAAACAGGAGGCCCAGGAGAAUGAAAAAAGCCCAUGAUCUACCUCAGAUCUCAGAGCCACCCGGCAGCCUGGCCAGCGCAAUCACUCUCAUAUCUGGACGUUGUACACACUUGCACCCAGACGCUAUGGACUUUAGCGUAUGUCCAAUUCGCAUUUAACUGCAGAUACACAGCCACAAACAUUCGCUUUUACCCAGAGCGCUCCCUGAGAUCCUGGAAUCUUGAAGUCUGGUAAUUUUCGCCAGCCUGUUUCCUGGCCCUGCUGAAGCCGAACAGUUAUUUAACUUUGCUUCCUAAAUCAAAAGAAACCAGACUGCAAACACCUCGAAGAGAAGCGUUGGGAGGAGGAGCCCACCGAGGAGGUUGUCUUGCGGGGAAGGCCUUGGUCCCCACUUUAAUGGUUUGUUUCUAAGUUGCCCCAGUAGGUCAUUUCAGAGAAAACCACCUCUCUUGCCUCCCUGAACAAAAUUCUUUUUUGAAGAUCUAUUUUAUUCUUUCUUUUGUGUUUUCUUGUUUUAUUCUUUUAUUUUCUCCUUUUCCUUUUUGUUUCCUUUGCUUUCUAGUCUCCUUUUCCUUCUUUUUCUUGCAAUUCAUUUUCCUUCCUCUUUUUUUGAUCCUUUUCUUAAUUUGUUGUCUUCACUCCCCAUUUCCUCUUUUUCUUUUUCCUUUAUUAUGCAAUGAUUCCUUUGUUUUUUUCUUUCCUCCUCAGUUCUUUCCUUCUCUUUAACUUUCCUUCCUAAGCCUUCUGGCCUUCUGAUUUUAUUCUGUUAUGCUGGGCUCAGUGUGUGUGUGUGUGUGUGUGUGUGUGUGUGUGUGUGUGUGGUGGGGGUUGCACCAGGAUUAUUUGCAGGCCUCUGGAUCCUGGCCACUCGGGCUUGGAGUUGACCUUCUCCCGCCUUCAGCCUUAGCUCGGCUUCUCUCAAAAGGCGAAGUGUAGGACUGUCAGGCAGCAACCAGGCCUCAGCCGUCGCCAUUAGAGGGAAGGAAAAAAAUAAACCAGCUCUGGGGUAAACCUCCAACCAAUGCCAAUGGCAAUUUGAAACGCCAGGUUUCAGGGGACGAUUAUCUUCAUUUCCAUUACCCCCAAGUCCACCAGGGUUGCCCCUGGAGAAGUUGCCCCACCUUUAUACUGGCCAUUAGAGCCACACAUUAAAAUGGCCCAAAGUUAAUCCCAGUUAUUUCCCCAAGGUUAAAAGAGGAAAAUGAGGGAGGGGAGUCUGUCACUUGGAGUCAUCAUCCAUGGACUUGGAAGCCCAAGGCCAUGUCCUCACCUGGGCACCUUUGUUCUUUGUGCUCCUGGACUGCAGUCUGCUGGCCUCUGUUGCCUUUGGUUCUGUAACAACUGCAAUCUCUGGACAGGAAUUUCUUGGCAUUUUUGGAUUCUAUUUUUCAUCAAGCUCGUUUUAGAUUUUACAGGCAGCAGGGAUGCGGGGCUAUGUGUGCAGAGACCAUCCCAAAUCAGCAAUCUGAGUCAAGGUUAGGAUCCUGUCCACUUUGUGGUGGGAGGAGGUGUUGGAGGUCAGAGUGUGCAGGGAUGGGAAUGGUGGGGAGAAUAGUGUCCGCCAGACAAUCAGAGAGUGUGAUGGUGAAGGUAUUGUUGCUAUUGUUGAAAUUUUAGGGGUGUAUUAGGAUAUAUCCCAAGAAGAUAAGAUAGCAUACAUUACUCUCCUGCUAAAUCCUGCAGCCUCAGUUAGCUGGCAGCCCCCACAGCUAGGUCCAAGGCAGGCUUCAGGAAGGAAAGAUUGAUGUUAAACUUUAAGCCUUUUUGCCUUUAGCAAAGACAGGCAGCUUAAGAUCCCCCCUCUUCCAACAUAUACACAAUGAGCCCCAGAGCCCUCUGUUUUCCUUCUCGAAGACCUGAGAUUCCAAACUAAAACUUUUAAGUUACUUUUUUUAAAAAAACAGAGGAAGGAAUCUUGUAAAACUUUUAUGCUAAACAAAGUUAUAAAAACUUCCCGGGCGUUGCCUUUUCCACAGUUUUAUAUGAAUAAUAAAGAGAGUUAGUCGCGUGCACAGUGUUCUGCCUGGCUCUGAACUGGGAGGGUUUAGCAACAGCAUUAUCCAGCCCCAGGGCACCAGGAAACCCCAAGAGCUGCCCCCUUCAGGGAAUAUUGGCCCAAAAAGGAAUUGUCCUACAGUGUCUUGAAGAGGGGGUGAGUCGGGGGUGGAGAAAGGAAGGGGUGGUGCCCUUGACUCCCUUGAAGUUCAAAGUUCUUUGCCCUGAAGAGGAAAGUUUCUGUGUUCUCAACCCCAAGAUAAUUUCCUCCCUCUGAUUGAGAGCCCGCUGCAGGUAACCCCAACUCAUCCUCUUUCAGACACCAAGUCUAGCCUUUUUUGCUUCCCCUUGGGUCCCACCAUCUGGGAUUUUUAGAACCCAGGAGUUUUCUCUCAGAGGUGCUUAGUGGUAGUUGUGAGCUUUCUUCCCAGGAACCCUUGCAUUGCCAUUCCCUAGCAACCUAAGGUUGUGAUUGACAAAGUAACCCCAAACCCAAGGCUACUCCCCAACCAUUUCUCAUUUGGAGUGUCCCUGGUUCCCUGCACCCCCAAAGCCCAUGGUGGGAGGAGGAGGGGCCCCAGCCCACACCACUUAAUACCCUUGUAAACUCCCACGUGCGCUAUAAACUUGGAUUUUUACAACCAACAUUCCUCCUUAGCUCCAGGAAACUUUGAACUCGGCCUCGGGUUUAUUUACUUGGAGGUGGGGUGGGGAGC